Molecule: ribosomal RNA, 269 nt
Filed under: uncultured prokaryote
Description: partial 16S ribosomal RNA
Rfam family: Bacterial small subunit ribosomal RNA
Source: RNAcentral
UACGUAGGUGGCAAGCGUUGUCCGGAAUUACUGGGUGUAAAGGGCGUGUAGGCGGGAAGACAAGUCAGAUGUGAAAGCCCAUGGCUUAACUGUGGAACUGCAUCUGAAACUGUUUUUCUUGAGUACUGAGAGGAAAGUGGAAUUCCUAGUGUAGCGGUGAAAUGCGUAGAGAUUAGGAGGAACACCAGUGGCGAAGGCGGCUUUCUGGACAGUAACUGACGCUCAGGCACGAAGGCGUGGGGAUCAAACCAGGAUUAGAUACCCCUGUA